GAGAGUUUGAUCCUGGCUCAGGACGAACGCUGGCGGCGUGCCUAAUACAUGCAAGUCGAGCGAGCGAAACUAACAGAUUUACUUCGGUAAUGACGUUAGGAAAGCGAGCGGCGGAUGGGUGAGUAACACGUGGGGAACCUGCCCCAUAGUCUGGGAUACCACUUGGAAACAGGUGCUAAUACCGGAUAAGAAAGCAGAUCGCAUGAUCAGCUUUUAAAAGGCGGCGUAAGCUGUCGCUAUGGGAUGGCCCCGCGGUGCAUUAGCUAGUUGGUAAGGUAAAGGCUUACCAAGGCGAUGAUGCAUAGCCGAGUUGAGAGACUGAUCGGCCACAUUGGGACUGAGACACGGCCCAAACUCCUACGGGAGGCAGCAGUAGGGAAUCUUCCACAAUGGACGCAAGUCUGAUGGAGCAACGCCGCGUGAGUGAAGAAGGUUUUCGGAUCGUAAAGCUCUGUUGUUGGUGAAGAAGGAUAGAGGUAGUAACUGGCCUUUAUUUGACGGUAAUCAACCAGAAAGUCACGGCUAACUACGUGCCAGCAGCCGCGGUAAUACGUAGGUGGCAAGCGUUGUCCGGAUUUAUUGGGCGUAAAGCGAGCGCAGGCGGAAGAAUAAGUCUGAUGUGAAAGCCCUCGGCUUAACCGAGGAACUGCAUCGGAAACUGUUUUUCUUGAGUGCAGAAGAGGAGAGUGGAACUCCAUGUGUAGCGGUGGAAUGCGUAGAUAUAUGGAAGAACACCAGUGGCGAAGGCGGCUCUCUGGUCUGCAACUGACGCUGAGGCUCGAAAGCAUGGGUAGCGAACA
This 800-nucleotide ribosomal RNA is filed under the name uncultured Lactobacillus sp. RNAcentral's name for it is "bacterial SSU rRNA". It matches the Rfam family "Bacterial small subunit ribosomal RNA", at positions 8 to 774 of the family's 1533-position model. The record is from RNAcentral. Lineage: Bacteria; Bacillati; Bacillota; Bacilli; Lactobacillales; Lactobacillaceae.